Long non-coding RNA from Microplitis demolitor, 430 nucleotides. RefSeq lists it as uncharacterized. The transcript has 3 exons. The record is from RefSeq and is a predicted model, not a curated record. Lineage: Eukaryota; Metazoa; Arthropoda; Insecta; Hymenoptera; Braconidae.
UGCAGUGGAGGAAGGAGCAUACAAAAUUUGAUUUUAGACUAAUACUUAAGUAGAUAACGAAUAAAACGCGAUUAGAAUGAAAAGACGAUGAUAAGAAACAAAUUAAUGCUGUUUUAAUCGGAAUGCUAGAUAGUUUAUCUAAUACCAAUAUCUCGAAGUAAGGUUGAUGUCUCGAAUCAUUUUUGUGCAUCAGGCAUCGUCCCACAAAAAGAUCAUCAAUAUUAUCAAAGUAAUUUUCAGCGAUGGUACAGAUGAUCUUGACGAUGAAGAUGGCAUAUAAUAGGACUAAUACCCUGAUUAAUUUAUUUUUUAUUCGUUUUUUCACUUAACGAAAUAUUUGUUCAUAUAAAUUAAAUUGUGGUGUGAAUUUUUAGUACCCUGAAAAUUUUUUUUCUUACUCUGACCUAUGAUUGAUAAUAAAUAAAAAAAA